Molecule: non-coding RNA, 73 nt
Organism: Stegodyphus mimosarum
Lineage: Eukaryota; Metazoa; Arthropoda; Arachnida; Araneae; Eresidae
Source: Rfam
ACCUUCGUGGUGUAGGGAUCAGCACGCUCCGCGUGUAUUCGAGAGGUCCGUGGUUCGAAUCCCGGCGAAGGCA